GAUUCGCUGUCACGCGACAGAGAAAAUGUCGCGCGUUAUGGAUACAAUCUCUAUGUCUCAAAUUUAACAAAUUGAUCUACUCGAUUGAAAGUGCUCGAUAAAAUGUAUCAAUUAAAACUUAAAAUUGUGAAUUCUGGAUGUUAUUUGGAUAAAAAGUUAAUUUUAAAGAAAAAUCAUUGGAUAAAUUUAAGAUGCCUCCCCGUUAGAUGCAAUUAACAACAUCUGGUCGACGUUUCAAAAAUUUCAUCCUCGAGAGGCUCGAAAGGAAACGAAUCAUCGGCAAGUGAUCGAAUUCGUACUUUAAUAAAUUUUCAUGAAAAUUUAAAUAACGUUAAAUAAUUAUUUUUCUUCCUGCAACAAGCGCGAAACUAAUAUCCAGCUAUUCUUCUAUUCGAGCAGAAAUAUAGUUAAGAAAAAAUCCCUUUCCUCGAUUUCGUCCUUUUUGCAUGCCAGAAUCACGCCAUAGAAAAUCAAAGUUCGAUUGCCUCGCGCGGGUCGGCUUCUCUCGUCACAGGCCGAGUUCAGAAUUAUCGUGCGCGCUACAUCGAGGACGACGACGAUUCCAGUUGCGCCACAAUUUAGAUCCAGCCGAGCGAUAAAUGGCGGUCGAUUGAAUAACGCGUUGAUUAAGCGCGAUCUCAUUUCUGAUAAUACCGCCUUUCACCGCCCCCCAAACUUCUUCCAACCUCGAAUCUUCCCCCAGCGGAUAAAAUGGAGGAAUUCGGAAGACGUCCUUUGGAUCAGUCGGGAUUUCUUCGGCCAAUUUGAUCUUAUCGCUCAAUUUGAGGAAUCGAUUGAUAUUUUUAACACGCACGAUAGAAAUCCCUCUUCGAGGAGAUGUCAAUAAUCGAAAUAAUUUAA
Apis cerana (Asiatic honeybee) is the source of this 861-nucleotide long non-coding RNA. RefSeq lists it as uncharacterized. The record is from RefSeq and is a predicted model, not a curated record. NCBI's taxonomy places the organism in Eukaryota, Metazoa, Arthropoda, Insecta, Hymenoptera, Apidae.